This 292-nucleotide RNase P RNA is filed under the name Coleofasciculaceae cyanobacterium RL_1_1. RNAcentral's name for it is "partial RNase P RNA component class A". It matches the Rfam family "Bacterial RNase P class A", at positions 136 to 367 of the family's 367-position model. From Rfam's summary of the family: Ribonuclease P (RNase P) is a ubiquitous endoribonuclease, found in archaea, bacteria and eukarya as well as chloroplasts and mitochondria. Its best characterised activity is the generation of mature 5'-ends of tRNAs by cleaving the 5'-leader elements of precursor-tRNAs. The record is from RNAcentral. Lineage: Bacteria; Bacillati; Cyanobacteriota; Cyanophyceae; Coleofasciculales; Coleofasciculaceae.
CGUUGUGCGGUUCGUCCAGCGAGACCGGUAAGGGUGCAAAGGUGCGGUAAGAGCGCACCAGCAGCAUCGAGAGGUGCUGGCUUGGUAAACCCCGGUUGGGUGCAAGGUCGCGGAAUGACGGUUGGUCUUUUACCGAUUCCAUGUUGGUGUACCGCUUGAGGCGUGCGGUAACGCCCGUCCCAGAUAGAUAACUGCCCCGAUUCUUCGGUCAGGUAUCAGUGCAGGUGCAAUAUCCCAAGCUGACGCGAUCGGCGAUUUGGAACAGAACCCGGCUUAUGACUGCUUUCUCUCU